UCGCUCAACGGAUAAAAGGUACUCCGGGGAUAACAGGCUGAUACCGCCCAAGAGUUCAUAUCGACGGCGGUGUUUGGCACCUCGAUGUCGGCUCAUCACAUCCUGGGGCUGAAGUAGGUCCCAAGGGUAUGGCUGUUCGCCAUUUAAAGUGGUACGCGAGCUGGGUUUAGAACGUCGUGAGACAGUUCGGUCCCUAUCUGCCGUGGGCGCUGGAGAACUGAGGGGGGCUGCUCCUAGUACGAGAGGACCGGAGUGGACGCAUCACUGGUGUUCGGGUUGUCAUGCCAAUGGCACUGCCCGGUAGCUAAAUGCGGAAGAGAUAAGUGCUGAAAGCAUCUAAGCACGAAACUUGCCCCGAGAUGAGUUCUCCCUGAGACUUAGAGUCUCCUGAAGGAACGUUGAAGACGACGACGUUGAUAGGCCGGGUGUGUAAGCGCAGCGAUGCGUUGAGCUAACCGGUACUAAUGAACCGUGAGGCUUAACCUUACA
RNAcentral lists this ribosomal RNA (489 nucleotides) under Salmonella enterica. Its description in RNAcentral is "partial 23S ribosomal RNA". It matches the Rfam family "Bacterial large subunit ribosomal RNA", at positions 2445 to 2925 of the family's 2925-position model. Lineage: Bacteria; Pseudomonadati; Pseudomonadota; Gammaproteobacteria; Enterobacterales; Enterobacteriaceae. The record is from RNAcentral.